CCUACGGGAGGCAGCAGUGGGGAAUAUUGGGCAAUGGGCGCAAGCCUGACCCAGCAACGCCGCGUGAAGGAAGAAGGCUUUCGGGUUGUAAACUUCUUUUGUCAGGGAAGAGUAGCAGACUGUACCUGACGCCUAAGCCACGGCUCACUCCGUGCCAGCAGCCUCUGUAAUACGGGGGAUGCAAGCGUUAUCCGGGUUUAUUGGGUUUAACGGGUGCGUAGGGUUUGAGGUAAGACAGCGGUGAAAUGCCCCCGCGCCACGGGGUGAAGUGGCAUUGAUACUGCCUUGCUGGAAUGCGUAUGCCGUGGGAGGAAUGGGUGGUGUAGCGGUGAAAUGCAUAGAUAUCACACAGAACACCGAUUGCGAAGGCAUCUAACGAAGCCGCGAUUGACGCUGAUGCACGAAAGCGUGGGUAUCAAACAGGAUUAGAUACCCGAGUAGUC
This 443-nucleotide ribosomal RNA is filed under the name uncultured bacterium. Its description in RNAcentral is "partial 16S ribosomal RNA". It matches the Rfam family "Bacterial small subunit ribosomal RNA", at positions 338 to 795 of the family's 1533-position model. The record is from RNAcentral.